This 506-nucleotide ribosomal RNA is filed under the name uncultured bacterium. RNAcentral's name for it is "partial 16S ribosomal RNA". It matches the Rfam family "Bacterial small subunit ribosomal RNA", at positions 28 to 523 of the family's 1533-position model. The record is from RNAcentral.
GAUGAACGCUAGCUACAGGCUUAACACAUGCAAGUCGAGGGGUAACGAGAGGAUAGCUUGCUUUCCUUGUCGACGACCGGCGCACGGGUGAGUAACGCGUAUCCAACCUGCCCCCAACUAGGGAAUAACCUUGCGAAAGUAAGGCUAAUACCCUAUAAUCUCCUCAGAUGACAUCUGACGAGGAAUAAAGAUUUAUCGGUUGUGGAUGGGGAUGCGUCUGAUUAGCUUGUUGGCGGGGUAACGGCCCACCAAGGCAACGAUCAGUAGGGGUUCUGAGAGGAAGGUCCCCCACAUUGGAACUGAGACACGGUCCAAACUCCUACGGGAGGCAGCAGUGAGGAAUAUUGGUCAAUGGGCGGAAGCCUGAACCAGCCAAGUAGCGUGCAGGAUGACGGCCCUAUGGGUUGUAAGCUGCUUUUAUACAGGAAUAAAGUUAGCCACGUGUGGUUAUUUGUAGGUACUGUAUGAAUAAGGACCGGCUAAUUCCGUGCCAGCCGCCGCCGUAA